Molecule: long non-coding RNA, 1170 nt
Organism: Amphiprion ocellaris (clown anemonefish)
Lineage: Eukaryota; Metazoa; Chordata; Actinopteri; Pomacentridae
Source: Ensembl
UUGUUUUCCAAAAAAACUGCCUUAAAUCAGUGCACUAGCAGAAAACUAAACCAUAUCUUCAUUAAUAAGUGAUUAUUCAAUGUAUAAAAAUUCUGAAAAGAGUGAAAAAACAUUGUCAAAGAAACCAAAAAGUGCUGAACUUACUGUCAUAUUUAUUCAAGUUUUGUGUGGAUUUAAGCCUCCUCUACAACUGUACAUCUCAUUUUAAUGCCAGUUUUUCUUAUCAUGUUCCCAAAAUUCGAAUCAAUUCAGUUGUUUUUCCUAAAAAAAAGCCUUAAAUCAGUGCACUGAUCAUUAAUACCUGAUUAUUCAGUGUAUAAAAUUUCAGAAAACAAUGAAAAAAACACAUAGAAAGGUAUUUAAAACACGUUUUUGUCUGAAAAACCAGAACACGCUCAGCUUGCUGUCUUAUUUAUUCAGGUUUUAUGUGGAUUUAAACCUGCUGUGCAGCUGUACAUCUCAUUUUUAUGCCAGUUGUUCUCAUUAUGAUCCCAAAAUUCUAAUUAACUCGGUUGAUUCUCCAAAAAAAAAAAAAAAAUAGUCAUAACUGGAGAAAACUGAAUCAAAUCAGAGACGAUAUUCAGAAUGAAAACAUGUUUAAGCUGCUGUACUUGACUAGAAGAUUCCCACACAGUACUUCCAGUCUUCGUGCUAAGCUAAGCUAAGCUAAGCUAAGCUAACACCCUGCACAGAAACAACUGAUGUCCACGUUUCCAGGACGACGGAGGAACCAGAAGAUUUACGCAGAUGUCAGACGUGUUUGUUCAAAACAGAGCAGAGACGAGGUUUUUCCCUCCCGGCUGCGACUGGAGCAGCCUGAAUAAUGGAUGACGAGGACAGAAACCUUCCUCCCCCUCUUCCUCACCCUCUUUGCUUACGUUACACAAGGACACGGCGGAUGAAAAUAGCGCCGCCGUCCUCAUGUGAUGUGGAAUUAAAAGCACACUGGCGCGGAGACACUUGUUUCAGUUCAUCCGUCCAUCCUGUAGCUUCACCUCCAUCCGUCCAUCCCUCCGUCUGUGCAGCGACUUUUCACCUCAGCAAGCUUUUUGGAAUAUGAUGAUGUACAUGUGAUUGUAAUAAAGAGAUUUUAAUUAGCUACGACACCGACGUUUUGUCUUUUUACUGACAACAAACUACACAUUUCAGGUUGUUUUGGUCAUCCAGAGC